Non-coding RNA from Bactrocera oleae (olive fruit fly), 619 nucleotides. NCBI's taxonomy places the organism in Eukaryota, Metazoa, Arthropoda, Insecta, Diptera, Tephritidae. The record is from RefSeq and is a predicted model, not a curated record.
UGCUUAUUAUCUGCUUUUCAAGUAAACUGUCUGUAGUAGCCUUCCUCAAAUAACAAUCUUCUAUCAGUAUCAGACGCAAGUAUAAGGGCAACUAUUCUCCACUAGUGAUCGAUCAUAGUACCAUAUUUUGUGGUUGGUUUAUUUUUAUAAAAUUUUGUAGCAUCGAACCACUGCCACGCCCACAAAACGCCAUUAAUCGAAACCUAAAAAUUGCCAUAACUAAGCCGCAGAUUCAGAUACAAAACUGCAGUUUGGCACAAAGAAUCGCAUUAAUAAGGGGCACCGUGGUUAUAAAAUGUUUAAAAAGUUCCAAGAAACCAAAACGCCCUCUCGUUUGGAACACACUACCUUGCGGAAGGUAACAACCAACACUUCACCAGCGAAAAUUCUAACAUUUUAUUUGGUUAACUUAACAUAGUACAAUUUUGGAUGUUCCGUAACAUGUAGCCAGGAUACCACCGUAGAUAACCAUUCUAUGUUAAAUAUUGUAGCCCUCAACUUUUUAUAUGAAUUGUUUUUAGAUACCAUAACAAAUUAAAAGAAAAAUUAUUUCUAUUUUAUUCAUUUUAUAUAUUUGCAAAUUUCGAUGAAAAGUUCUCAAGCUGAACUUUAAUAUCCC